This 298-nucleotide unclassified non-coding RNA is filed under the name plant metagenome. RNAcentral's name for it is "partial contains 5.8S ribosomal RNA, internal transcribed spacer 2, and large subunit ribosomal RNA". The stretch from base 1 to 105 matches the Rfam family "5.8S ribosomal RNA", at positions 50 to 154 of the family's 154-position model. The record is from RNAcentral.
GAGAUGCGAUAAGUAAUGUGAAUUGCAGAAUUCAGUGAAUCAUCGAAUCUUUGAACGCACAUUGCGCCCCCUGGUAUUCCGGGGGGCAUGCCUGUUCGAGCGUCAUUUCACCACUCAAGCCUCGCUUGGUAUUGGGCAACGCGGUCCGCCGCGUGCCUCAAAUCGACCGGCUGGGUCUUCUGUCCCCUAAGCGUUGUGGAAACUAUUCGCUAAAGGGUGUUCGGGAGGCUACGCCGUAAAACAACCCCAUUUCUAAGGUUGACCUCGGAUCAGGUAGGGAUACCCGCUGAACUUAAGC